UAUAUAUAUAUAUAUAUAUUUUUUUUUUUUUUUUUUUUUUUUUUUUUUUUUUUUGUGGUACACGGGCCUCUCACUGUUGUGGUCUCUCCCGUUGCAGAUCACAGGCUCCGGACGCGCAGGCUCAGCGGCCAUGGCCCAUGGGCCCAGCCGCUCCACGGCAUAUGCGAUCUUCCCGGACCGGGGCACGAACCCGUGUCCCCUGCACCGGCAGGCGGACUCUCAACCACUGGGCCACCAGGGAAGCCCGGUUGUUUAUAUUCUUGAAAACUCCAUUAGAUAGUGAGAACUGAGCAGCUGAGAUUCUCUUAUGGGACUGUAUGUAGACAUUCCCCGGGUUCCGAUUCAGGAUUUCCAAGCUUUCUGGGGUGGAUGGGUAAAUAGAUGUAUCAGCUGGAGCUGAGAAGCAUUCUCUGAGCCAGCCUCAAGAUGUGAAGGAGACAGGGCUUAUUUCAUUUAUGAAACUGAAUCAUUCGUAGACUCAAGGACAAAAGUCUAACAAUGAAGAUGACUAACAUAAAAUUAUCACUGUCAGACUUACAUUAUAUCUGGAAGAACUGGAUUAUAAAAGCCAAGUCAUGUGUUGUCAAGGGCCUGAGGUUUGCAAGGAAAUUCUCUCAAAAAGGCCCAUGCAAAAAAUGUCCUGAAGUAGAAUCUGAGACCUGGUAGCACAAAAGUGCCUUGAAUGUGCUUAACUGGCAGGGUGAAGACCAGGGGACAGGGGCAGUCUCUAAAGUAGCCACAGCCCUUCAAUCACAUUCAGGAACUGGUGCUUCGAAAAAACAAACCACCGAAAAUAGUACAGAGAAAUGUCACAGCAAAUCAAGUUAAAACAUGGUAGCUGUAGCCACGUGAUUGAGUUCUGCCCAAAGGAAUGCAGAUACCAGGUGCGUAGUUCUUCUCCAGGCCCUGUUCUAACACCUCCCACAAAAUCCUCCACACCCUCUUUCUUCUCAUCAGUGGUUACUUACAGGAACCCGAAGAAGCACUUAAAGCUCUAGGGAAUUGUAGGCUCACGUCAGGGGUCAUUAAACUUUUUCUGUAAAGGGUCAGAUAAUAAAUAUUUUAGGGCUUUGAGGAUAUAUAAGGUUCCUGUUGCUGCUGCUACUGCUUCUCCAACCCUUUAAAAAUGUAAAAGCUCUUCUUAGCUUCUAGAAUUGGGCUGGGUUUGACUUGGGGGCUGUAGUUUGUCAGCCCCUUCACAGAUGAAAAGGUCUUAGAUUUCAGAAUGCCUAUGUAAAGCACAGCCCCCUCCCCCCUACUCCCCCCGCCUCCUGUGUCUGCAACUGACUCACUUGGAUUAUGAUGGGAAUGAUAACUUUUACUGUGUUUCGCUUUCUCUGAACUAUAGCUAUGAGACUUUCUAUCUCAAAUGCAAUAAAGAGAUAACUAUUUGGGGAACUUGAACAAAGUGGAGCUCCAAUUUCAAGAAGUCGAGGUCCAUUCACCCCCAAAUAGUCUUCUUUACUAAAAAUGUUGCUUAUUCUAGAAGUAUCUUGUUUGCUACGCUGCUUUGUCUAGUCCUUGUCUAGGGAACCAUCGUGAUCAAACAAAUCUGCCUAGGCCAGAGCAGACUGCUUUAAAAUCACAGCUUUAAAAUCCAGCAGAAGAAGUUUCCAAGUUGGAGGAGGAUCAAGAGGAGAAUCUGGAAGAGUAAACAAAGAAAGAAGAUGUGCGCUUCACCACAUAAAUUGAAUCUGCAAAGCAUAUGGAAACCUCAGGUGUAUCUGACUCAUAAUAUUAAUAUUUUCUCUAAGAUCUACAAUCUCCCUCCUUCUCUUCUCCACUUUUCUGAAAUAACCCACAUCUGUGAAGUUUCUUCUUUUUUUAUAUUUCUCAGUCCCUACUGAUGCACAGAACUCACUAGUAUCGACAAGCCCAGGCAACCUUUGGUAGCAAGUCAGGGUGGCGUAAUGAAAUGUUUGGGGAAAAAACUCCCCACCGCAGUCUGGUUCACUCAAACAGCUUGCCAAGAUGAUGCGGUUCUCAUGCAAAGAAAAAGUGCUCCUUCACCUGUACCAGCAAGUUGCUCCCCCUGAGACAGCAGACUGCAUUUGUUUUGACACUGACAAUAAGAGCAUGCCUUUGGGACAAUGGAUGGAAUCAGAGUUGAACUGAAGCCAACUCCAGUUUUUUAAGGAAAAAUUUUCAUGACACUUCCAGAUAAGAAAAUUGAGGCACAAAAGGAUUGAAUAACUUACGAGGAGUUAUCCACAGGAAGCGAGAAAGAGAGAGACUGUGGCGCCCCCUUGGUUGUCUGAGGACUUGAUCUACAUUAAUCUGUGUGCUGCCCGUGGGUCUAGAUGGUGAGCCCACCAUAACCGGAGACAUCUCACCUGUUAAGAAAUGCUGAUCCAGAGCUUAACUCAGGCAGCCUUGGGGUCACUAGGGCUGCACCCAGCACGCCCCUGGCACAUCACGCACACACCUCUUUGGACACUAACUGUUGCCAGCAAACAGCUCUGUAAGGACUUCGGAGGAGAUCGUGCCCUCCAGGUCUCUGGAAAAACUGGUAAAGGUCUCUGAGGACACAGAGGGCACUGCCUUCCCAGCACCAGGAGAAUCCUGCCCUACACCCUACAGUCCUUAUCUGCAAACUCAAAGCGUGGUGUUCAGACCCCCGUGGUUGUGGGCAGCAGCCUUCCCAGAGUCGGGACUACAGUCUGCUGCAGCUGCUCUCCUGGGUGUCUCACUGCUGCUCCUGCACUUCCACUCGAAGCUCCACUCUUUCCCUGACCCCUCAGGCCAGCUUGGACCCAAGUCCUGACAUGUCCACGUUCUCAGACUUUAUCCCUCCAAGUAUGCAUGAGUCAGGGCAGCUGGGAUCUCUGGAUCUUAAAACACCUCCUCCUGCACCACUCCCACCCCUACCGCCUGACCACACCUCCACCUUUGCCCCUGCUGGAUCUUGACCUCUGGCGCUCUCAGAGCAGCCAGCCAGCUUGAAGUCUGAGCUUUGGCCUGCGCCCUGUAAUUCAACCUUGUCUCCUCCUCAGACUUAAUGUUCCUACACUUGUUUUAUGAACUUACCCUCCAGCUCUGAGCUCUAGCUCUGCCUUGGCUGGCCUGUUACCUGAGCCACAGAGCCAGACUGGCAGAGUCCCUAAAGUCUCUUCAUGCCUAUUCCCCAGGUUUGCUGAAGCUAUUUCUGUGCUUCCAGAUUCCAAGGAAUCUCCAAAUAUAGGACAAAAGUGGAAACUAAGGGAAAGAGAGUUAAUAGGGAACACAUUGUCCCAGUAAAUUUCCGCUGUGAAUGCUGGAUGAGGAAUUACAGAAAGGCAGUUUUUACAUCACCAUUGACAAGUAUUCUUAAGGGAAGGUGAGGCUUGGGUGAUAGAAUGAGAUAGAUAUUCACUGGAAGUAGAACAAGCCUGAAUCGAAAGCUCAUCUCUUUUACUUGCCUCCUUUCAUAGAUAAGAAAAUGGAGGACCAAAAAUAUAAAUUGACUUGACCAAUAUCACUCUAGUUAAAAUAGAGCAAAGUUGGAACUAGAGUCUUGCUUCUUGGUUGGGUACGGUAUUCUCCACCUUCGUUCUUUCAACAAGCAUCCAUUGAGUAUCUACUCAAGGCCAUGUUAUUAGAAUUUACCAAUUCUUGGGUAUAUAAUAGGUGUUAGAAAGAUUCAAAAUAAAUAUAACAAAAAGAGCCAUUUUAAGGGACAUUGAUCUGGUGAAAAAAAAAAGUAAAUAUAUAUUAAGGAUUUUAAAGUAAUCCAAGGUUAUUUAUGCUUGUGUGGUAAUAGAAGUAUACAUAAUAAAUAAAUAGAAGUUUUCAUGGGAAUUCAGAAAGAAGAACCAUCAAAUUGGGCUGUGAGUCUCAAGGAAGACAUGUUGGAUGCUACAGAAAUUAAACUGGGAGACAAAAGUUAGGAUUUAGAACCUUUGAAAGGAGUGAGAAGGAUUUUUAAGUAGGAGAAACUGAAGAUUUUUGUUGGGAUUUAGAAGAAAAGGUUGUAUUGUUUGUGUGGGGACAGAUUAUAGAAAACCUUGGGAAAAACCCAUCAAAAGUGUUCAGGGGCUUCCCUGGUGGCGCAGUGGUUGAGAGUUCACCUGCCGAUGCAGGGGACACGGGCUCGUGCCCCGGUCCGGGAAGAUCCCACAUGCCGUGGAGCGGCUGGGCCCGUGAGCCAUGGCUGCUGAGCCUGUGCGUCCGGAGCCUGUGCUCUGCAAUGGGAGAGGCCAUAACAGUGAGAGGCCCACGCACCACAAAAAAAAAAAAAAAAAAAAAAAAAAAAAAAAAAAAAUCAAAAAUAAAAUAAAAUUCCAAAAAAAGCAAAAAAUAAUUAAAAUGGUUGUUAUAAUUUCAUCAGAGCAAAUGUCCAAUACCAUUAUAUCUGCCAUGAAGAUCAUUGUACUGCGAAAAUGAUUUUUUGUGAUAUUUAUAAGAAACUAAAAUCUAUUUUCAUUAGUUCCAGCUUUUAUUCCAUUAACUGAUAUUCCAUGUGAUGCUUAUUCCACAAGAGCCAAAGCAAAAAUGAUCUGUGCAGAAGACAUUGUUGUUAUUGUGUAAUUGUCUCCACUAAGGAUUAAAAUGCUCACUAUUUUACCUAUA
This is a long non-coding RNA of Orcinus orca (killer whale), 4548 nucleotides long. RefSeq lists it as uncharacterized. Lineage: Eukaryota; Metazoa; Chordata; Mammalia; Artiodactyla; Delphinidae. The transcript has 5 exons. The record is from RefSeq and is a predicted model, not a curated record.